CAAUUGCAACUGUGAAAACUUAUAGAGAAAAUGAUUAUGUCCUAAGAUUUUUAAAAGGUCUCAAUGAUCAGUUUAACAUCGCAAAUCAUGAUGAUGGAUCCACUGCCUUCAAUAAACAAAGUUUUUACUCUUGUGGUACAACAAGAAAGACAAUUAUUUCUUAGUGUAAUCCCAGAACCUAAGCCAUUGAUUGCCAAAUCUAACGAAUAAAUGUUUUAAAGAUCUUAUCAUAGACGAGAUACUCAUACACCUUCUUUUCAAGUCAACAAAAGAUACAAUACUCAGAAUAAUACCAAGAUCUAUACUUUCUAUGGGAAAUCAAGACGUACAGAGGAGACUUACUAUAGAAAACAUGGGUUUCCACUUGAUUAUAAGUUUAGAAAUAGCUCCAGCAAUGCUAGUAUUAAUAAUAUCGAGACAACUAAUUUAUCUGCAUUGUUGAUAUCAAUCAAGGCAACCUUGAUUCCUCAAAUCUUUAUUUCACUCAAGAUCAAUACUAAUGCUUACUUGCUUUGAUUCAACCAGUAAGUCAGUCAAUAAGUCAGUCAAUCAAAUCUAAACAAGACAUACACUAUAAAUCAAGUAAACACAUCCACAGCCACAGAUUCUCUUCAUCUCACUACUUCUUGCUCUAAUUUCUAGGUAAUUUUCUUAAUUUUUUGUGUUUUUUGCAAACUAAGAUAUGGAUCUUAGACAUCGAAGCUACUGUUCAUGUCUAUUUUUCUCUUAGUCAUUUUCUAUCAUACUAAAGAAUUAGACCUAUACGAGUCAAAUUACAAAUGGUGCCAUAGUUACUAUAGACACACCGGCACAAUAUAUUUCUCACAGUUUCUCAUUCUUCAUGAAGUCUUAUAUAUACUGAAAUACAAAUCAUUCUAACUCAGAAAUUAUCUCUAAUUUCUGAGUUGGGCGUCUUCUAGCUAAUCUUGCAUUUGUUGUUUCUGUACUUGUGGAUGAAGAGGCAAAAGGAUUGGAAGGAAUGGUUAAAUCUUCUGCUCCUUGCAACAUUUGAACAACUACUUUCAUGGAAGGACGCAAGACUGGAUGCCAUUGAAUGCACCAGAGCCCCACAGUCGCAAGUAUCUUUGCGAUGUUUGCAUCUCCCUCGUCUACAAUAUGGAUUCUCAGGUCUUCUCCUCGCUCUAAGAGAUUAUAAAUCCAUUCUGGAAAGUAGAUCUGGCAAGCAUUCUCUGUCGUAACUUCAAAAUUCUUCCUCCCCCCAACCAUUUCAAGCACUAAUACUCCAAAGCUGUAAACGUCUGAUUUAUGGGACACAUUGCCUACUGGAGUACACUUCAGGUGCAAUAUAUCCCAUGGUGCCCCUCGCUACUGACAUGGAAACUGUGCUUUGAUCCUUGGAACACAACUUAGCCAUGCCAAAAUCUGUGAUUUUUGGAUUCAGAGUGUCAUCAAGAAGGAUAUUAUGUGGCUUGAUAUCAAAGUGUAGGAUUCGUUCAUCACAUCCUUGGUGAAGAUACUCAAUCCCUUUUGCUACGCUAAGGGCAAUAUCUUGCAGCUUCUUCCAACCCAGAAAAUUAUUAUUGUCGUCUGCUGAAGAGAUGAAACUUUGAAGUGAACUUUUUGGUAAGUACUCAUAAACUAGAGCUCGUUUAAAUCCAUCGGCACAAAAACCAACCAAGCGAGCUAUAUUAGCAUGGUGGAUUCUACCCAUUAUGCCUACUUCAUUUAUAAACUCUUCCCCAUUUGGUACCGUGGAGUACUUUGACAGCUACUAGAAUUUCACUGGAUAACUUUCCUUUGAAUACUUUUCCAUAAGAUCCUUCACCCAAGAAGUCCUUGAAUUGGUCUGUAAUUCUUUUAAUAUCGGCAUAAGUAUACCUUGUGGGCUUGAGAGCUUUGUAAUCCUCUAAAAAUUCUUUGAUUCUUUUUUCAGAUUCAUCUGAUCUACGCACAUAGUAGAGAGAAAUACUAAGGAAAAAUAAACCAAGGGUUGUACCUGCAAGAUGAACAAUCAUAGUUAAUAUUCUCUUUAUUUGUUUAACAACCGAGAAGUGAACAUAAGAAAAUUUUACCUAUGACUAUGACUUUCUUUCUCAUUGUUGCACCUGCAAAAAAAAAUGACAUUAUUAGCUAGCAACCAGCGGCGAGUAUAUUUGGAUAAUUUGGAAGAAACUGUGUUGUAUGAAAAGUUUGAAAAUUGUAGAUAUCAACAAAUUAUCCAUUUUUAUUUUUUCUUAAAAAAACAAGAGUCAGAAUAUAUGAUAGACACCUCUAUGUUGUUUGGAGAUAUCUGAGCACUCAAUUUCAGGUUGAGAACUAUUCUGCUUCAACUUGCAUAACUUUCCUUCUGCCUGGCAGUUUGUACAAUUUGGUCUGAUCCAAUUGAAAAUAAGAUUUCCAUUUGGAUAGAGCAUUUGAUGCGGGACUAAAGAAACGUUAUACAGCUUGGUGCAAGACAACAAGGAGGGCGAAAAGGGGUUGUUUAUUGAACUAUGAGAAUGGAAAGCAAUAACAUUAUGUUCAGCAUCAUAAUUACUGAUGCAUGAAAUAUUGUAUAGUUCCCCAGUCCAAGGUGGUUCUAUGGAACAAUCAAAAACUGUAAAGUCUUGUAACUGCUUAUAUUUAAACAGGAAUGGGGAAGCUGAUAAAUUAAUGAGAGGAAGAUACUUGGGAAGGCAACCAUUAGGGUCAUAGGCAUGAAGCUUUUGUGCCUUGUAAUCAAUCAUGGACACAAAAAGCUUCACUGAUCCUGGCAGCUCUAGCACAGUCUCAUUGUUGCUGCUGCAAGAUAUCUCAAAACCAGGAUAGCCACAAUAAGAGUGGCUAUUUUUAAGACGGAAGGGAAACCGGACAAGUGGUCCAUCUGGAUUGCAGUUUUUAGGGCAAUCUGUGGCUGCUCCAGCUGAUGCAAACAUUACCAAUAACAAAACACAGGAGGAAGCGACAAGCAUGUUAGUUAACCCAGUAGAUAUCUCCUUGGAAGUUUUACUCUCAAAACCUUUGUUUUAAUCCCUUUUCCAACAAUUGUAACCACUUCUCAAGCAAUGGGCAGAGGAGUUCCUCUUUGCCUUUCUCUUUCCCUGCACUGAAGUGUGAAUGCAUCAAAAUAUAAAAAGACAUAAUUCAACAACACAGGCAGAAAAUAAAUGAAAUACUAGAACCACCAUGAUACAUUCAUUUGCUAUUUGAUCAAUUAUAUUCCGAACUUUCAUCGAAAAUAACUCCAUUACUAACCGAAACCCAAAAAGCCAAGACCAAGACCAAGACCAAGAGGAUAGAGAGGAGGAAGAAUAAACAUCAUACCAGUAUCAAGAAGCCAAAGGACUUUUCACAAACAUGUAGUGAGCAAGAUUCCUUUGAUGGAACCUUCGUUUAUAAGAGUACUAAGGCUACUUUUGUAAUUCCAAAUACUCUCAUUUUACUGAUAGAUUUAGUUGUAUUUUAAAAACAUCAUGACAUUUUAAUCAACUCUAAAAAGUAUAAUAAUUAACCAGUUAAUUAUGGAGCGAGUGUAAUAAUAAUAAUACAAUCUAAAAUUAUUACCUCUAUAUCUAUUAAAUCUAAAAUAAUCAUCUGGUCUCCAAAGAACCAGAUAAUUUGCAAGUGAAUCAUGAUGAACUUGCCAAAAUAUUUUGUUUCUAGCAUUCCAUGUAGCCGAGCAAAUUGUUACUGCCAUUCUUGCAUUAUUGCCAGUAAAAGAUCCAAACACCGCCUACAACCACUCCGUAAAAUUAAUAAUUGAGGGUUAUACUACAAAUAAGAAACAUUCCAUACCUGACAUGCAAAGCUACAUUGCCCUAAGACAUGGAAGAUAGACUCAUGUGAGGAACAAAGUGGACAUAUAGCUAGUACAGGCACAUGCCAUUGCCGCAGUUUCUUUCUUAUUGACAGAAUAUUAUUCAUCGACCGCCAAACAAAGAACGGAUUUGUGGAGGUAUUGGCAACGUCCAACUCUGUUCUCUGCUUUUCUGGUUCCCUAUCUAUUUAAAGUUUUAUCAAUUAUGUUUAAACAUUUAUAAAGAGAAGAAAGGCCAUGUUUAUACUUAAAAGGUAAAAUAAACCUAGAGCGACCCUUUUCCAAGAAAAUUUUCAAAUGAUUUAGGGUUAUUUUGAUAGUUUUUUAAAUAUAAAAAAAUAAUAAAAAUUACUAUAAGGCUCUAUAAUAUUAAAAAAUUUAUUAUUCUUUAUUUCAAAAUUACUUAAUUAAAAUAUUUUUAUGCUUUUUAAAAUUUAUAAAUUUCGUAUUUUUCUCACAAUGUCUUCAUUGUCAUUCACUCAUAGAUCAUGCUUGGGAUUCAUGCUUUUUUAGAAAUGAAAAAAAAAAAGUUAUCUCUCUAAAACAUAAGAUGAAAUUAGAAUGUGUGGUCCUUAUUUUAGAAAUGAGCCAUUAAAAGGUGUGGUCCUUAAACAGUUCCAAUUUCUAUUUUUAUUAAAGCAAGUCAGGUAACUCAACUUCUGUUUUCAUGUAAACCCAUGUACCCAAUUUCUAUUUUCCUAUUUCUAUAGCAGAAUUCGGUUUAAAUUAAAAAAAUCGAUCGAAUUGAAUUAAUUUAAAAAUUCAGUUCAAUUUUUUAUUUAUUUCGGUUCGAUUCAAUUUUUAAUUUUAAAAAUUUUAAUUAUUUUAAUUCGGUUCGAUUUUAAUAAUAAAAAAAUUAAAAUAUUAAAUUAAACCGAUUAGUAAUAAUAGUAUAGUAUUUUCAAUAAUAAUAUAGAAAUUAAAUUAUAUUAAAAUUAAAAUAUUUUAAUUAAAUUUUAAAAUAUUAAAAAUAAAAUAAAAAAAUUUAUACUAAAUUGAAUCAAAUUGAAUUAAUCGAUUUAAUUUAAUUUAAUUUAAUUUUUAUAAAUAUUAAAAUUUUAAUUUUUAAUUUAUUUAUUUUAAUUUAAUUUUAAAUUAAAUCGAUUAAAUACUCAUCCAUGAACUAAACAGUUCCAUCAUUAUCACGCCACUUUUUAUUAAACAGUUCCAUCAUUAUCACGCCACUUUUUGUUGAAAGAUUUUGUUAAUGCAAGUUGGUUGAGAGGACAAAUACUAUAAUUUUAUAACCAGAAAAAUUUUAACGAUUAAAAAGCAUAUAUGAAUUGGACGGUGAUAAAGCAAAUCUUCAAAAUGAAAAUGGUAUCAAUAUCAAUUUCUAAAAUGAGAAAACUUUAAUAUGCCCUCUUCAAAAUUUGCAGACUAAUAAACACUAAGCAUAUAUAUAAUAUAUCAUUUAAUUUUGUAUUACGAUAGAAAAUUUAUUAAUUAAUUUUUUAAUUUUAAAAAAUAUAUUAAAAUAUUUUUAAUAUUAAUAUUUUUAUUAAUUUUAAUUGUUAAUUAUUUUUUUUAUUUAAUUUUUAUAAUUUGAAAAAAUCUAUUACUUGAUCAUUGAUCUUAUAAAAUAUUUAUUAAUUAGUUUUUAUAUAUUAAAAGCAUCAUAAUUAAUUUUUUAAUACUUAAAAAUUAAAAUUAUUAGAAAAAUUAAUUAAUAAAUUUUUAGUAUAUUUUUUAAAACUUAAAGGUUAAUUAAUAAUUUUUUUUAUAAUAUAUAAAUUAAAUAAUAAUUUUUAAAAUAUUCCUUUUUUUCGAGUAUGAUAUAAUUUGAUAUUGUUUUUUAGUUCGACUCAGAAAUAAAAAAUAAAAACCGUACAUAAUCUUAUAUGAGUAUUUAACACGUGAUUCAUAAUAAAUAUAUAUGUUAAAAAAAUACUAAAUAUUCACAAUAAAAUAUUUAUAAAUAAAAUAAUUAAUAAUAUAAAAAUAUAUAUGUUAAAAAAUUAUUCAAUCCCGUCCAACAUUGAUUAGACAAAGAAAAUUUGUGGGGCUACCUAUCUCAAUUUUUCUCUAUUAACUCACUGGUCUCCAUAUAAAAAAAGAUAAAUUAUAUUUUAAUAAUUGAAUUUAACUUAUUUAACAUAUCAAUUCUUUACUUUUAAAACUUCUUUACUUUUAAAACUGAACAUUUCAAAUUAUAUCCUUGAUGUCAUUAAGAAGAUGCAAGAGGAAGGGUUGUGCAUAUUUAGAUCUAUCAUGGAUCACCGAGUAUAAGUUAUUAACAAGGCACGAGAAGCACAAAUUGUGAGUCUCAAAAUUUGUGAGAAAUGGACCAAGAAAGAGAAGGAAGAAAGAAUAAUAAUAAAAAAUUUUGAGAAGAAGAAAAAGUAACGGAAAUUUUUUUUUAUAUCGGCGUUAAUUAAAACUUUUCACUCUUCUUAUUUUUUUUUAGCGUAUACAUUCAUUUUUAACACUGAUUUGCAUACGCUGAGUGGGCAAAUGAGAGUUAAUUAAUUAUAUUUUUUAAGAGUAUAGAAUGGGAAAUGAGACGUUUUAAAAAUUAAGAGUGUUUAUGAGAUUUUUUUCUAUAAAAUUCAGAUGUCUAGAUAUGUAUUUGGCUAAUAUUAUUUUAUAUGUUUAUUUAUUAAAUUAGAUUAAAGUUAAAGGAUAGCUUUAGUAAUCCAUAGUUUCUCCUCUUUACUACUUCUAUAUUUGUUAGCCUGCGUUGCAUACUCGUGAAUUUAUUUAUUUAUUUAUAUAUAUAUAUAUAUUAUAUAAGUUUUAAUUUUUUCUUUUUGAAAUGAAAUUGGAACGUAAAAUUUAAAAUCUCUUAUGCUAUUACUAAACAUUUUAGCACAGAUAUUAUUAAUAUCUUUAUUGAAAAUUCUUCGUAUAUUAACAUUAGUUUUAUAUAUAAUAGCUUUCACUUGUCACCUAUUUGGCUGAAAUUUUUAGAUACUCAUUGUAAAUAAAUCUUACACUAAUAUUUCAUUUAAUAAAUUAAAUUUAUAUCAAAUAAUUUUAACAUAUUAAUUUUUAUUUAUAAUAAUUAGAAUUUUAAUGUUAUUCAAAUUUAAUAUCAGAAUAAACGAUUAUCAAAAUUAUUUAAUAAGAGUAAAAAUUGAUAAACAAUUAUUUUUUACAUUUAUGCAAGACAAACUUUGUCUCUUUAAUAUUUCUGAAUUAAUAAGAAUCUCAACUAUGCAUGAUGAGGUCAUCCAUCACGUGAAUGAUAAUUGAGGAAUAUGAAAUUUUUGUGGUCCUAUAUGAUAUUGGCUAUAUCUAAGAGAAAUGUGAAGUCACAACUUUUAUAUCAGAAGAAUUUCUCUGGUUUUGUUCCUUGAUCUCUUCCCUCUGUUGCCGCCAUGUCCAUGUUAAUCUCAGCAAUUUCUCUCCUUUCUUUUCUCUUGCUAUGCAGUGUGACUUGUUCUGUUGGCAAGAAAAUUCAUCACUGUGCCCUUUCCUGCGGCAAUCUCCAAAACAUUUCCUAUCCCUUUGGAAUAGUAGGGUAUCCAAGCAAUUGCGGCGAUCCAAGUUAUCUUUUUGAAUGUGAGAAUAACAAGACGGUAUUAAGGUUGUUUGCUGGAAAAUACUAUGUACAAGAGAUCAAUCGCAGCAAUAAAACCAUCCGUCUUGUUGAUGCUGAUUUGCAGCAAGGAAAUUGCUCCUCCCUUCCUCUUUCUCCUUUCACAAAUGAUAACUUCAUUUAUUAUUCCUACCAUUCCUAUCAGUUGCCAGCAUCCUCGGUGAAGAUUACUUACAUGAAAUGCGAGAACUCAGUUGAUUCUACUCUGUUUGUCCAAACACAUCCAUGCGUUGAUGGAGUUUACUCCAACAACAAGAAGCAUUCAUAUUCAUAUGUUGUGUUUGGAGAUUUGGAGUUCUUAGAAAUUCCAAAUUUGUGUAGGGUGGACUUGGCAGUCACAGUUUCGUCAAUCAAAUGUCACGACAAGAAUUGCUCCUACUUGGACGUAUUCAAGGGGCUGCUUAAUGGGUUUGAGCUUUCAUGGUCUGAGAUGUAUUGCAAAGAAUGCAAAUCAAAGUUUAUGAAGAGGGGCUAUUGUAUAUUUAAUGAUGAUUAUUCGAAGUUUUUAGAAUGUUCUAACCGUAAGAAUUUUGUUAUCUUUGUUCUCUCUUUUACUUUGAUUUUUAUUUUCUUUUCAAAAAAAGAUUAUUAAUUAGAACUUCAUAUGAAUUUAUUUCUUUCAUUUUGCAUGCAGAUUUAUUGUGGAAUUUCAUCUACGGUGGUAAAAUGUGUUUUCAUUUUUUUUUUUUUGUACUUUGAUCAUAUUUAUAAUUUAUUGCAAUAAUAUACUUAUAAAAAAUUAUGAUUCAUUUUAUUUAUUUAUUUAUUUUUUGCAGCGUUUAUUCAUCUUCCAUUGAUCUUGGGUAAACUCCUUGGCAUGUGUCCUUUCUCAUUUUUAACAUUGUUACUUUAUUCAAGUUAUAGUUCACAUUUGGGCUUUGUUUAUGCAGCAAUAAGAUGUUUCUGUGGCAUCCCGUGCUUGGCCACAUUUUUUAUUAUAAGAUGGCGAAGGAGGCAUCUAUCCAUGUAUGACGAAGUUUAAAAAUUUCUUCAAAGUAAUAAUAACUUCAUGCCCAUCAUGUACUCUUAUUCAGAGAUCAGGAAGAUGACCAGAGGUUUCAAAGAUAAGUUGGGUGAGGGAGGCUAUGGUUCUGUGUAUAAAGGAAAGCUUGCUAGUGGGAGAAUUGUGGCAGUCAAGCUAUUGGGCAAGUCCAAGUCCAAAGGACAAGACUUCAUCAAUGAAGUUGGUACGAUUGGGAGAAUUCAUCACAUCAAUGUAGUGCAGCUCGUUGGAUUUUGUGCUGAAAGAUCCAAGCGCGCCCUCGUAUAUGAAUUCAUGUGUAAUGGAUCUCUUGAGAAGUACAUAUUUUCAAGACAACAAGAUGUUACCUUGAGUUAUGAAAAAAUCUACGAAAUUUCUUUAGACAUUGCUAGAGGAAUUGAGUAUUUCCAUAGAGGCUGUGAAAUGCAAAUUCUGCAUUUUGACAUAAAGCCCCACAAUAUUCUCCUUGAUGAAAACUUCACAGCGAAAGUGUCUGAUUUUGGACUUGCAAAACUAUAUCCUCCUGGUCAUAGUUCAGUAUCUCUCCAGAAUCCAAGAGGAACAAAGGGCUACAUGGCUCCAGAAUUGUUCUACGGAAACAUUGGGCCGAUAUCUUACAAAGCUGAUGUUUAUAGUUUUGGUAUGUUGUUGAUGGAAAUGGCAGGUAGAAGGAAGAAUUCGAAUGACGCUGCAGAUCAUCCUAGCCAAAUUUACUUCCCCUCAUGGGUUUAUGACCAACUUAGUGAUGGAAAAGAGAUAGAAAUUGAAUAUGCAACAGAGGAGGAAAAGAAAUUAAUCAAGAAAAUGAUGAUAGUAUCAUUAUGGUCCAUACAAAUGAAACCUGGUGAGCGUCCCUCAAUGAACAAAAUUGUGGAGAUGCUUGAAGGAGAAGUUGAAUCUUUGCAAAUGCCUCGCAAGCAUUUAUUACCUCCACCGAAGCUAAGCUAACAGCAUCCUGGGGCCAAUAUGAAAGCACCAAAGUCAUCAAAUGUUUCCUGAAUUUAAUAUGACACAUUUCCUUUAUGAUCUAGCUUUUAAUAUGACAUAUAUCCUUUAUGAUUUAGCUCAGUAUUCAAUUCUGAAAGAUUCUAUUCUAUGCUAAUCUUAUUUAAUAUGACAUAAACUUUAUAGCUGGGCAAGUAAUAGUUGGCCUAAAUCUCUUUUUGAUGAUGGAAAGUGAAAGUAAAGAGAUUAAAAUAUCAAAUAUGUCAAAAGCAUUGCUGUUAAAACAUAUUUGCAAAUGCAUAAUCCCAUUUCACAAAAUUUUUAAAUCCUCAUCUAAAAAAAAAUUGAUAAUACAACGAAAUAUAGUAUGUUAGCAAGCAGCCGAGGAGAGUUGAUGACAUAAAAUAGACUUGCAAGGACUGCUGUUUUCUAGUCAUCUCAAAGAAUGAAAGUGAAGACUGCACAGACAAUGAGUCGAUCUCAGGAUCAGAGAGGCAGAGGGAUCAACUUAGUUUGUACAAUCGGUCAUCUUGAGGGACUGAAAAAGAAGAAGAUGUAAGUGGCUUUGUGACUCACAUGGACACAGUGAGGACUAAAUGAUUUUAGGAUAUUUAGAAAGUUCCAAGCAGUUUGGUCCUUCACUUCCAGGCAGGAAACUGAAAUAUACUCGGUAGUUACUGGAAGCAGCCAAGGUCCAAAGGAAGCAUAGUGCAUUGGACCAGUUUCAUUGUAGAAUAAGAAGUCCAGCUCCGGAAAUUUUAUUGCGAAGGCAAUUGUCUAAUUGAGGCAAAUCCUCCAUAUUCUAGUUAAUACACUACAAGAAAUUGAAGUUUUAAUGACCAUUUUUUAGAGAAGGGCGCCUCAAGUGGUGGCAAUAGUAUAGCAUACUCUAUUUUUAAUCUAGCGCUAGAACUAUGUGAUUUUGUGAAGGGAGAAAAGUACAGUCCCUGAAGAUAUAAAAGCAAUAAAAACAACUAAAAAAGAAAAUAAAAAAAGGAGAUUUAUAAUUUAGUCUAGCAUUGUUAUUAUUAUUAAUAAAUCAGUUUAUUAUCUUUUCUCUUUUCCGUCUAUUUCUGCUAUUAACAAUAUAGCAAAAAAUCAAAUUACCUUCUAUUUUCUCCUCCUCCUUCUCCUUCUCCUUCUCCUUCUCCUUUUCCUUCUCCUUCUUCUUGGAUUCUUCAUCUUCUUCCUCUUCUUCUUUGAUUUUUCUUUUCUAAAAAGGAGAAGAAGGAGGUGAUUCUUCUUUUUCUUCGUUAUCAUCAUUUUCUUCUCCUUUUUCUUCUUUCUCUUCUUCAUAAUCGUCUUUUUUUUCUUCUUUUUUUUUGUUUUUCUUUUUAAAAGAGGAGAAGGUACUAUUUCAUUGACAGACAGAAAUAAUAAAGAUAUUUUAAUAGAUUUAAGAAAAAAUAAUGACGUUUUAACAUAUUAAAAAAAAAAGAACGUUUUAAUAAAUUUCUAAAAUAUAUAGAGAUGAUUUAAAAAUUUUAAAAAUUUUAUUUUUCAUCUCUCAUAUUUUUUUAACUGAAAAGAUGAUGGAAUGACUAUUUUGUUAUCUUUUGCUGUUCCUCUCUUUGAUAUUUUUGUCAUAAAUGUAAUUAUGCUUAGGGAAUGUUAGGUUAUGCUUGUGAAGAUUCAUUCCUAAAUUGUUUGUUUUGGAUGUUCUUAAAGUCCAAUAGGAAUUGGAGGUUGAAAGUGAUUGAUUUUCGUUGCAGUUUCAGAGUUUAUUUGGUUAAAAUGAUGGUUUAACUGAGAUGUGAUUUUAUGUGAUUUGUGGAUCAAGCGAUGACUACAAACCAGAAUGCCAACUCAGAACCAUCUCAAGUACGGUCAGUUCUUGUUGUUUAGAGUGGUAUAGUAAUUGAAUUUAAUUAAAGUUUGGGGAUCUGAGGCAUAUGGACUGGAUUUGUUGCUAUUUACAAACGUUCAUAUAUUUUAUAUGGCCUUUCCCUUUUUUUGAUGCUGUAUUAGACAUGUAUGCUGGAGAUAAAUGUUUCUUUGGAUAAAACAUGCUCUUGAUUUUUCAGUUUAGCUACCCAUCUGAGUUGAGUUAUGUAAAACAUGCUAUGAAUACUGUUGAAUUUUAUUAGUUCCAAUGGUAUCUAUAUAUAUUAUUUAGUGAACUUUUAAAAAGAUGCAUCUCUUGUUACUUCUAUGAGGUUCAUGGCCACUCCAAAGUUGUAAUUUAUAAACUUUAUGCAAGAUUUGGUUGGAUAUCUUGGUAAAAACGGUGGUCUAUUCUCACACGGACAUCAGUGGUUUUCUUCAGAAGUAAUCCAGUAAGUAGUUCUGCAUACCAGCAAUUUGGGAUAUUUUUAAUUUGCACAUGCAUGUCCUGUGUCUAUAGUAUUUAUUAUUGUGAUAUGAAAAAUUAUUCCCAUCCCCUCUUUCUGCAUGCUGGUUGCAACUUUAUUAUUUUAUAAGGUUGACCUAAUAUACAUUUGAACUUUUCAGAGUGCUGUUACUCAAAAAGGCAGUGAAGUGAACUUGACUCUUUGGUGGUACUGACCUCAACAAUUCAGGCAGUUCAAAUUAUUAAAUACAUGUUUGCUUGUCAUAGUUGUUUCCACGAGGGAAGUGAGUUUAGUUUACAUACUUCAUAGUGCUUUCUUUGGAUGAUUUCUAGUGUGAUUGUGAAAUCAGAAACUAGUGCUUCAUUACAUUAUCUUUAGGAACUAGUGCUUUGAUGGGAAUUAUUAGUGAAAGUUAAAUUAGCUUUCAAUUCUAUGAAUAACAUUUUAAUCAAGGGGGCUUGUGGGAAAAAAAAAUGAUAUUAGUUUUGAGUGGUCAAAGCAAUCACCAAUCAAGCAAAUGUGGUAAUGAAAGGAAGAAAUGAAAUUAGGAGCUUUUUUCUCCACUAUCUAUUAUUUCCUUGUUGAAACUUUGUUAUCUACUGUUGAUAUAUGGUGUUUUUGCUUGUCUUAAAGGCUGAAACUUUAGAAGAUUUAUAUGAGUGGAAAACUGCUCUUGAGAAUGCUCUGGCACAAGCACCAAAUGCUGCUCUUGUGAUGGGGCAAAUGGUAUCUUCAAGACCCAUCAGAAUGAUGGAAUUGAUGGGUCUGCACUUGCAACAAGUGCAGACAUUCUGCACUUGUUGCAAGUGCAAAAUAAUGUAUCUGCAUUUGCUGCAUUAUUCUGCAGUACAGAAUAGUGAUGCUCUAGUUACUGCACAAAAUUGCAGUUUUAAAUUAGUUUUUUGGAUGUGAAUAGGAAAUAUAUGAGCUUCAGCUUUUUUUUUGUUUUGUUUUCAAGUUCGUUAGCUUCUGGCAUUAAGAAAUGAACUGCAGAAAGUUAUUUUUGUUGUUUAGACUUGGUUCACCUUUCUUAUUCAGUUAGGUGGGAAUAUCAUUUGGAGCCAAUACAUGUGCUGCACUGAGACUUGCUAGGACGCCAGAGAACAAAGACAAACUCAUCGUGGAAAUUUUUUUUUUUUUAAAGUAAAUUAUAUUGAAACAAGUUUGUAACAAUUAUUAAUUUACUUAUAAAAGACUGGCUUAUUUAGCAAAGUGCAACAAGUGCACUUGCUAUACACUUGUGCACUUGCUGCAUAUGUGCAUUUGCACAAGUGCACAGCAGCCCUUGCCGCUUAUGUGCACUUGCAGCAAGUGCUACUACACUUGCUGCAUAUGUGCACCUGCAGCAAGUGGUGCUUGCUGGCCGCACAGUGCAGCAUUGCACUUGCAGAAAGUCUGUAAGUGCAGCAAGCAAUGUGAAUUGAUUUAACGGGUUUCAUGAUCUAACUCACCACACGGUUGGUUAGUUAGAACUAGAUCUCUCUAAUUCUUAAAAAAAUUAACAGUUGAAAAGUAAAAACCUCCAAGGACGUUUCUUGACAACUUGUUAGCUAGUGAUUGAUUAGCAAACGUUUUCUAAUAGAUCUAAAUCUAAGGAGAGAUUUGGUUGUGUGGAGCGUCUUACACAAUCAAAACUAAUUUAUUAAAACG
Molecule: long non-coding RNA, 13166 nt
Filed under: Manihot esculenta (cassava)
Lineage: Eukaryota; Viridiplantae; Streptophyta; Magnoliopsida; Malpighiales; Euphorbiaceae
Description: long non-coding RNA (MESC_LNC010708)
Source: RNAcentral